RNAcentral lists this ribosomal RNA (440 nucleotides) under uncultured bacterium. RNAcentral's name for it is "partial 16S ribosomal RNA". It matches the Rfam family "Bacterial small subunit ribosomal RNA", at positions 338 to 795 of the family's 1533-position model. The record is from RNAcentral.
CCUACGGGAGGCAGCAGUGGGGGAUAUUGCACAAUGGGGGAAACCCUGAUGCAGCGACGCCGCGUGGGUGAAGAAGCGCCUCGGCGCGUAAAGCCCUGUCAGCAGGGAAGAAAAUGACGGUACCUGAAGAAGAAGCCCCGGCUAACUACGUGCCAGCAGCCGCGGUAAUACGUAGGGGACAAGCGUUAUCCGGAUUUACUGGGUGUAAAGGGGGCGCAGACGGCGAUGCAAGCCAGGAGUGAAAGCCCGGGGCCCAACCCCGGGACUGCUCUUGGAACUGCGUGGCUAGAGUGCAGGAGGGGCAGGCGGAAUUACUGGUGUAGCGGUGAAAUGCGUAGAUAUCAGGAGGAACACCGGUGGCGAAGGCGGCCUGCUGGACUGCAACUGACGUUGAGGCCCGAAAGCGUGGGGAGCAAACAGGAUUAGAUACCCCAGUAGUC